GCCCUUGAGUUUCUUCUU
RNAcentral lists this microRNA (18 nucleotides) under Corchorus olitorius. Its description in RNAcentral is "hsa-miR-43". Lineage: Eukaryota; Viridiplantae; Streptophyta; Magnoliopsida; Malvales; Malvaceae. The record is from RNAcentral.